RNAcentral lists this small RNA (27 nucleotides) under Arabidopsis thaliana (thale cress). Its description in RNAcentral is "ATSL143780". The record is from RNAcentral. Lineage: Eukaryota; Viridiplantae; Streptophyta; Magnoliopsida; Brassicales; Brassicaceae.
UGUUUGGUCAACUGUUGUCCUCGCGUU